This 469-nucleotide ribosomal RNA is filed under the name uncultured bacterium. Its description in RNAcentral is "partial 16S ribosomal RNA". It matches the Rfam family "Bacterial small subunit ribosomal RNA", at positions 28 to 507 of the family's 1533-position model. The record is from RNAcentral.
GACGAACGCUGGCGGCGUGCUUAACACAUGCAAGUCGAACGGAAAGGCCCUGCUUGCAGGGUGCUCGAGUGGCGAACGGGUGAGUAACACGUGGGUGAUCUGCCCCUUACUUUGGGAUAAGCCUGGGAAACUGGGUCUAAUACUGGAUAGGACCAUGCUGUAGGUGGUGUGGUGGAAAGAUUAGUUUCGGUAAGGGAUGAGCUCGCGGCCUAUCAGCUUGUUGGUGGGGUAAUAGCCUACCAAGGCGUCGACGGGUAGCCGGCCUGAGAGGGUGGACGGCCACAUUGGGACUGAGAUACGGCCCAGACUCCUACGGGAGGCAGCAGUGGGGAAUAUUGCACAAUGGGCGCAAGCCUGAUGCAGCGACGCCGCGUGGGGGAUGACGGCCUUCGGGUUGUAAACUCCUUUCAGCCAUGACGAAGCCCUUGUGGUGACGGUAGUGGUAGAAGAAGCACCGGCUAACUACGUG